This 443-nucleotide ribosomal RNA is filed under the name uncultured bacterium. RNAcentral's name for it is "partial 16S ribosomal RNA". It matches the Rfam family "Bacterial small subunit ribosomal RNA", at positions 338 to 795 of the family's 1533-position model. The record is from RNAcentral.
CCUACGGGGGGCAGCAGUGGGGAAUAUUGGGCAAUGGGCGCAAGCCUGACCCAGCAACGCCGCGUGAAGGAAGAAGGCUUUCGGGUUGUGAACUUCUUUUCUCAGGGACGAAGCAAGUGACGGUACCUGAGGAAUAAGCCACGGCUAACUACGUGCCAGCAGCCGCGGUCAUACGUAGGUGGCAAGCGUUAUCCGGAUUUACUGGGUGUAAAGGGCGUGUAGGCGGGAACGCAAGUCAGAUGUGAAAACCAUGGGCUCAACCUGUGGCCUGCAUUUUAAACUGUUUUUCUUGAGUACUGGAGAGGCAGACGGAAUUCCUGGUGUAGCGGUGAAAUGCGUAGAUAUUAGGAGGAACACCAGUGGCGAAGGCGGUCUGCUGGACAGCAACUGACGCUGAGGCGCGAAAGCGUGGGGAGCAAACAGGAUUAGAUACCCUUGUAGUC